RNAcentral lists this ribosomal RNA (496 nucleotides) under uncultured bacterium. RNAcentral describes it as "partial 16S ribosomal RNA". It matches the Rfam family "Bacterial small subunit ribosomal RNA", at positions 28 to 507 of the family's 1533-position model. The record is from RNAcentral.
GAUGAACGCUGGCGGCGUGCCUAAUACAUGCAAGUCGAGCGAACAGACGAGGAGCUUGCUCCUCUGACGUUAGCGGCGGACGGGUGAGUAACACGUGGAUAACCUACCUAUAAGACUGGGAUAACUUCGGGAAACCGGAGCUAAUACCGGAUAAUAUAUUGAACCGCAUGGUUCAAUAGUGAAAGACGGUUUUGCUGUCACUUAUAGAUGGAUCCGCGCCGCAUUAGCUAGUUGGUAAGGUAACGGCUUACCAAGGCAACGAUGCGUAGCCGACCUAGAGGGUGAUCGGCCACACUGGAACUGAGACACGGUCCAGACUCCUACGGGAGGCAGCAGUAGGGAAUCUUCCGCAAUGGGCGAAAGCCUGACGGAGCAACGCCGCGUGAGUGAUGAAGGUCUUCGGAUCGUAAAACUCUGUUAUUAGGGAAGAAUAAAUGUGUAAGUAACUAUGCACGUCUUGACGGUACCUAAUCAGAAAGCCACGGCUAACUACGUG